RNAcentral lists this non-coding RNA (23 nucleotides) under Cricetulus griseus (Chinese hamster). The record is from RNAcentral. Lineage: Eukaryota; Metazoa; Chordata; Mammalia; Rodentia; Cricetidae.
UUCUGGCCUACAGGCAUACAUGU